GCUAAGGUCCCCAAAUCAUCGCUAAGUGAUAAAGGAGGUGGGAGUGCACAGACAACUAGGAGGUUUGCCUAGAAGCAGCCAACCUUGAAAGAGUGCGUAAUAGCUCACUAGUCAAGCGCUCCUGCGCCGAAAAUGAACGGGGCUAAGCGAUGUACCGAAGCUGUGGGAUUAAUUUAUUAAUCGGUAGGGGAGCGUUCCGUCGUAGGUAGAAGCAGUAGCGGCAAGCAGCUGUGGACGAAACGGAAGUGAGAAUGUCGGCUUGAGUAGCGCAAAUGUAUGUGAGAAUCAUACACCCCGAAACCCUAAGGGUUCCAGAGCCAGGUUCGUCCACUCUGGGUUAGUCGGGACCUAAGGCGAGGCCGAAAGGCGUAGUCGAUGGACACAGGGUUAAUAAUCCCUGACUAUGAUGUGGGAGCAUUGCUAGGGACGCAUCAAAGAUAGCCAUACCCUGAUUGGUUUGGGAGACCGUUACGACGGUCGAGUGGUGAAGGAUAGUGCCAAGAAAAGCUAGUAAUGUGAUGAAAGCAUCGUACCCGUACCCGAAACCGACACAGGUAGGGAGGUUGAG
This 568-nucleotide ribosomal RNA is filed under the name Anabaena torulosa SAG 26.79. Its description in RNAcentral is "bacterial LSU rRNA". It matches the Rfam family "Bacterial large subunit ribosomal RNA", at positions 1038 to 1676 of the family's 2925-position model. Lineage: Bacteria; Bacillati; Cyanobacteriota; Cyanophyceae; Nostocales; Nostocaceae. The record is from RNAcentral.